GCGCAUUAAACACUAUCUCGAUUGUCAGUGUAACUCUGUGUUUUGUCGAAGCAGCAUUUCUGUAUUCCCAAUUUAUUUACUUAUCAAAUCGUAAUAAUUAAAAAUGAACGAGACAGAUUGGGAUCACGAUAAUCACUUUUAUAUGGAUUUUGUUUUAUUAACAGAAGAAAUAUUGAUUGCGGCUUCUGCUGUAUUAAACGUUGUGGUUAACAUGUUAAUGGUGUGUUGUUUAUUCAAAGUAGGAUUGAAAUCGUCAACUAAUGUUGGUGUGUUUAAUUUAUCAUUAUUGGAUAUAAUACAACUUUUAAGCUGCCCUGCUAUGUAUAAAGUUUUCUCCAAAACGCACGAUGUUUUAGAAGUAUUUGAAUCGUAUAGUAUUUUCGCAAAUAUAUAUUACAGUGCAAUGGUUGGAAUAUUAAUGUGUUAUGGACUAAUGAUACUAAAAAGGCAUAUACCAUACCUUGAGAAAAAGUUUAAAUUUUUUAUACCAGGAGUAUGGGUAAUUAUAGUUAUUAAGUGUGUCGUGGGAUACAUUAGAUACAAGAGGUAUUAUGAUACACCCGGAUUCCUAGAAAUUUAUAUCUUACUGUCCAUUGUAUUAUUUGUAAUAAUAACCAUAGAACAAAUAAUUACUACUCUAAAUUGGGGCAGUGACAUAAUAUUAGACCACAAAAUAUCAAUAGUACUUACUUUGUUUUUUAUUAGUCUUCGAAUAUGUUUUAUUAUAAUUCUUAGUUUUCUUGGACAUUUCUUUAAGCGUUACAUACACCCACAAAUUGUUAUAAGUUUAAUUAACUUUAAUGCUUCAGGAAAUAUAGUAUUAAUGGCUUAUAUGGAUAGGAAAUUCAGAUAUGCUUUAUAUGACAUUUUAAGAAUUAAGCGCAUUGCACAUAAUAAUAAUGUAAAUUUUGUUAAUUUACCUGAAGAAACUGUAAAUAUAUUAGCAGAUGAAUAAAUAAAUAAUUUUACAAUGACA
Onthophagus taurus is the source of this 976-nucleotide long non-coding RNA. RefSeq lists it as uncharacterized. Lineage: Eukaryota; Metazoa; Arthropoda; Insecta; Coleoptera; Scarabaeidae. The record is from RefSeq and is a predicted model, not a curated record.